AAGCCAAUCGAACUUGGAGAUAGCUGGUUCUCCUCGAAAUAGCUUUAGGGCUAGCGUCGUGUUAGUAGCACAUGGGGGUAGAGCUCUGUAAAGGACUGGGGCGGGCAACUGUACCCACCCUUAACAAACUACGAAUACCAUGUGUGUAAUCACGGCAGUUAGAACAUCGGUGCUAAGAUCGGUGCUCAAAAGGGAAACAGCCCAGACCAUCAUCUAAGGUCCCUAAAUUAACGUUCAGUGGGAAACAAGGUGAGAUUUCUUAAACAGCUAGGAUGUUGGCUUAGAAGCAGCCAUUCAUUUAAAGAGUGCGUAACAGCUCACUAGUCAAGAGAUCUUGCGUGGAAAAUGUAACGGGGCUAAAACGUUAUACCGAAGAUAUGGAUGUCAGAUUUAUCUGGCGUGGUAGAGGAGCGUUCCUAUCAGCGGUGAAGUCGAAUCGGAAGGUUCGGUGGAGCGGUAGGAAGUGAGAAUGCUGGAAUGAGUAACCAUAAGAGAGGUGAGAAUCCUCUCGGCCGUAAGAGCAAGGUUUCCUGAGCCAUGGUAAUCAUCUCAGGGUUAGUCGGGCCUAAGCCGAGGCGCAGAGCGUAGGCGAUGGACAUCAGGUUAAUAUUCCUGAACCGGUUAAGUUUUGUACACUGUUCACGGGGAAGUAAUCGAAGCGGAUUCAUGGUUUAUCCGUCCAACCGAGCGGGAACGCAAAGGGAGUGAAAGUGAUUCUUCGGAGUCGCGAUUUUGGUGAAAGCCCUGGCUAGAAAAGCAGGUGUACGCGUGGACUUAGCCGCCCGUACCGCAAACCAACACAGGUGCUCGAGUCGAGUAGACUCAGGCUUACGAGCGAACCUUCGCUAAGGAACUCGGCAAUACAGCGACCGUAACUUCGGGAUAAGGUCUGCCCCCACUUCGGUGGAUAUCAGCCGCGUUCACUCAGUGAAUAUUAGGUUAAAGAGUACAUUUUUAAUCACAAAACGAAUUUUCUGAGAUAGAGCAAACGAAUUGUUCUUUUGAACGCGAACCUCUGACGUCUAACGAUGUGGGGGCCGCAGCAAAAGAGCCCACGGAACUGUUUAUCAAAAACACAGGUCUCUGCUAACACGAAAGUGGAUGUAUAGGGGCUGACUCCUGCCCAAUGCUGGAAGGUUAAGGGGAGCGCUUCACGGUGCGAACUGAAGCCCUAGUCAAUGGCGGCGGUAACUAUAACCGUCCUAAGGUAGCGAAAUUCCUUGUCAGGUAAGUUCUGACCCGCACGAAUGGAGUAAUCAUGUGGGCACUGUCUCAGCGAAGGACUCGGUGAAAGUGCAUUGGCGGUAAAGAUGCCGUCUGUCCGUACCAGGACGAAAAGACCCCAUGGAGCUUUACUACAGCUUUACAUUGAAUAUGGUUUCAACAUGUGUAGCAUAGGUGGGAGACUUUGAAGCAGAUACGCCAGUAUUUGUGGAGUCACCAAGUGAAAUACCACCCUUGUUGUGAUUGUGUUCUCACGCUGACCGUUAUCCGGUUAGCGGACCGUGUAUGGUGGGUAGUUUAACUGGGGCGGUUGCCUCCUAAAGAGUAGCGGAGGCGUUCAAAGGUUGGCUAACUUCGGAUGGAAAUCGAAGUGAUAGUGUAUGCGCAUAAGCCAGCUUGACUGUGAGGAGUACAUUCCAAUCAGAGACGAAAGUCGGAGCAAGUGAUCCGCUGUACGUACAUUUGUACAUGAAUGUGGGAUCGACAGCGCAAACGGAUAAAAGUUACCCUGGGGAUAACAGGCUUAUAGCGCCCAAUAGUUCACAUAGACGGCGCUGUUUGGCACCUCGAUGUCGGCUCAUCACAUCCUGGAGGGGGAGCACCUUCCAAGGGUUCGGCUGUUCGCCGAUUAAAGUGGUACGCGAGCUGGGUUCAGAACGUCGUGAGACAGUUCGGUUUAUAUCCGGUAUGGACGAUAGGAAACUUGAGAGGAUCUACCCCUAGUACGAGAGGACCGGGGCGGACGCACCUCUGGUGUAUCGAUUGUGGCCACCUGCUGCAUUGUCGAGUAGCUAUGUGCGGACUAGAUAAGCGCUGAAAGCAUAUUAAGCGCGAAACUAACCUCAAGAUAAGGUUUCCCUAUGAGGACACAGAAAGACUAUCUGUUUGAUAGGCGCAAGGUGGAAGUACAGUAAUGUAUGGAGCUAAAGCGUACUAAUAGUCCCAUUGCCUUUUUAUG
RNAcentral lists this ribosomal RNA (2182 nucleotides) under Porphyromonadaceae bacterium. RNAcentral describes it as "partial 23S ribosomal RNA". It matches the Rfam family "Bacterial large subunit ribosomal RNA", at positions 826 to 2925 of the family's 2925-position model. Lineage: Bacteria; Pseudomonadati; Bacteroidota; Bacteroidia; Bacteroidales; Porphyromonadaceae. The record is from RNAcentral.